This is a non-coding RNA of Pelobates cultripes (western spadefoot toad), 87 nucleotides long. NCBI's taxonomy places the organism in Eukaryota, Metazoa, Chordata, Amphibia, Anura, Pelobatidae. The record is from the annotation of a GenBank genome assembly.
UUCCCUUUUAUUCCAGAAGUUUGGUCCUUAAGGGGUUAAACAGUAUUAACCCCUUAGGGACCAAACUUCUGGAAUAAAAGGGAAUCA